UACGUAGGGGGCUAGCGUUGUCCGGAAUCAUUGGGCGUAAAGCGCGCGUAGGCGGUCAGGUAAGUCCGGUGUGAAAGUCAAAGGCUCAACCUUUGAAUGCCGCUGGAUACUGCUUGACUUGAGUCCGGAAGGGGCGAGUGGAAUUCCUGGUGUAGCGGUGAAAUGCGCAGAUAUCAGGAAGAACACCAACGGCGAAGGCAGCUCGCUGGGACGGAACUGACGCUGAGGCGCGAAAGCGUGGGGAGCGAACAGG
Molecule: ribosomal RNA, 253 nt
Filed under: uncultured bacterium
Lineage: Bacteria
Description: partial 16S ribosomal RNA
Rfam family: Bacterial small subunit ribosomal RNA
Source: RNAcentral